UUUGCAUGCAAGGUGCCAUUCUAAAUUUUCUUGUUCGUACAUAAACAUUACAACUGAAUAUCCAAUACAGUAUGAAAGCAGAAAAAUGCAAAAAGUGAACUACUACUGCCCCUAAACCCCAUCCAAACUUAGAAUAGAAAUUUCACAGAAUGAACACUCACUAAAUUGACUAAAUUUGUCAAGUACAUUUCUUUGAAAAAUGUUACAGAAAUUUUAAAUGAAAAUGCAGAGCAUCCAACCUUGUCAUAUCCCUACAAUUGACCGCUAUAAUAUGUGCGGAACCAUAUACCUUGGUUGCAGGGUAUGCACUAAUCCAAAUCAAGGAACUCCAUUCU
Molecule: unclassified non-coding RNA, 335 nt
Filed under: Hevea brasiliensis (rubber tree)
Lineage: Eukaryota; Viridiplantae; Streptophyta; Magnoliopsida; Malpighiales; Euphorbiaceae
Source: RNAcentral